This 333-nucleotide unclassified non-coding RNA is filed under the name soil metagenome. RNAcentral describes it as "partial contains 5.8S ribosomal RNA, internal transcribed spacer 2, and large subunit ribosomal RNA". The stretch from base 1 to 120 matches the Rfam family "5.8S ribosomal RNA", at positions 35 to 154 of the family's 154-position model. The record is from RNAcentral.
GAUGAAGAACGUAGCGAAAUGCGAUAAGUAAUGCGAAUUGCAGAAUUCAGUGAGUCAUCGAAUCUUUGAACGCACAUUGCGCCCCUCGGUAUUCCGUGGGGCAUGCCUGUUCGAGCGUCAUUUACCCCUCAAGCACUGCUUGGUGUUGGGCGUCUGUCCCGCUUCGCGCGCGGACUCGCCCCAAAGGUAUUGGCAGCGGUCGUGCCAGCUUCUCGCGCAGCACAUUGCGCUUCUCGAGGCGGUCGAUCGGCGUCCACGAAGCUCACCUCCACCGUUUGACCUCGGAUCAGGUAGGGAUACCCGCUGAACUUAAGCAUAUCAAUAAGCGGAGGA